CUGUGGACACCUCAUCUCUGCAGGAGCGGAUCCAGGCCAGGCCUGACCCCAAGGAGGCACUGAGUGACUUCCUGAAGUGGCAGAAGACUGGACAUUUUGCCAGCACUGAGGAAGUAGCCCUGCUUUGCGUGUACCUGGCCUCUGACGAGUCAGCCUACAUGACAGGCAAUGCUGUCAUUGAUGGGGGCUGGAGCCUGUGAGCCCAGGACCUAGGGCUCAGAAAACCUGGUGAGGGAAGAAGAUGCCUGCCCGUCCAUCCGUCUGUCUGGGAAACCCCUUGUCCAG
Molecule: long non-coding RNA, 285 nt
Organism: Erinaceus europaeus (western European hedgehog)
Lineage: Eukaryota; Metazoa; Chordata; Mammalia; Eulipotyphla; Erinaceidae
Exons: 3
Source: RefSeq, a predicted model, not a curated record